This 170-nucleotide small nuclear RNA is filed under the name Helobdella robusta. RNAcentral's name for it is "U1 spliceosomal RNA". It matches the Rfam family "U1 spliceosomal RNA". From Rfam's summary of the family: U1 is a small nuclear RNA (snRNA) component of the spliceosome (involved in pre-mRNA splicing). Its 5' end forms complementary base pairs with the 5' splice junction, thus defining the 5' donor site of an intron. The record is from RNAcentral. Lineage: Eukaryota; Metazoa; Annelida; Clitellata; Rhynchobdellida; Glossiphoniidae.
AAACUUAACUGGCACAAAAUAUACCGCAAUCAAAAAGACGAUUCUUCCAGAACGGAAUCCAACCAUUGCACUUUGGAUAUACUGACUUCUGUGAUUACUGCUUUUGCUCUUGCGGUUUUGUUGGUUGCUGUCGUUGUUGUUGUUUGUGUUGUUGUUUGUGUUGUCGUUGU